RNAcentral lists this ribosomal RNA (164 nucleotides) under Meistera yunannensis. RNAcentral's name for it is "5.8S ribosomal RNA". It matches the Rfam family "5.8S ribosomal RNA". From Rfam's summary of the family: 5.8S ribosomal RNA (5.8S rRNA) is a component of the large subunit of the eukaryotic ribosome. It is transcribed by RNA polymerase I as part of the 45S precursor that also contains 18S and 28S rRNA. Functionally, it is thought that 5.8S rRNA may be involved in ribosome translocation. Lineage: Eukaryota; Viridiplantae; Streptophyta; Magnoliopsida; Zingiberales; Zingiberaceae. The record is from RNAcentral.
UGAAUGACUCUCGGCAAUGGAUAUCUCGGCUCUUGCAUCGAUGAAGAACGUAGUGAAAUGCGAUACUUGGUGUGAAUUGCAGAAUCUCGUGAACCAUUGAGUCUUUGAACGCAAGUUGUGCCCGAGGCUUUGUGGCCGAGGGCACGCCUGCUUGGGCGUCAUGG